GCCUUCGUGGUGUAAUUGGAAAGCACAUCAGACUGGCAAUUGGAAGGUCAGGAAUUCGAAUCCCGGCGAGGGCG
RNAcentral lists this transfer RNA (74 nucleotides) under Stegodyphus mimosarum. It matches the Rfam family "tRNA". Rfam says of the family: Transfer RNA (tRNA) molecules are approximately 80 nucleotides in length. Their secondary structure includes four short double-helical elements and three loops (D, anti-codon, and T loops). Further hydrogen bonds mediate the characteristic L-shaped molecular structure. tRNAs have two regions of fundamental functional importance: the anti-codon, which is responsible for specific mRNA codon recognition, and the 3' end, to which the tRNAs corresponding amino acid is attached (by aminoacyl-tRNA synthetases). tRNAs cope with the degeneracy of the genetic code in two manners: having more than one tRNA (with a specific anti-codon) for a particular amino acid; and 'wobble' base-pairing, i.e. permitting non-standard base-pairing at the 3rd anti-codon position. Lineage: Eukaryota; Metazoa; Arthropoda; Arachnida; Araneae; Eresidae. The record is from Rfam by way of RNAcentral.